This is a long non-coding RNA of Hevea brasiliensis (rubber tree), 630 nucleotides long. RefSeq lists it as uncharacterized. The transcript has 2 exons. The record is from RefSeq and is a predicted model, not a curated record. NCBI's taxonomy places the organism in Eukaryota, Viridiplantae, Streptophyta, Magnoliopsida, Malpighiales, Euphorbiaceae.
AAAAUCCAAUUUAUGAAACUUUGAAUAAUUAACAUUAAAAUCCAAGUUAGUGCUCCACUAACUUGGAUAUUGGGACCCUUAUCACAGCCUUGGGACAGCAGAUAGCACUCACCAUCAUCUUCUUCAUCAGCCCAUUUUACUUUGCCGUAAUGAAUUCCACCAUGGAAAUCACCAUGGCCACCCCACAUGCAACCUCCAUGGGUGCAUGAUCAAGCCAUCCUUUCCACUUCUUUCCUUCAUUAAAGCUUGCAUACUCACCUUGGGGAAGAUAUUGGCAGCAAGAAAAACAAGAUUUGGUGAGGUUUGAAGGAAGCUUUCAAGUGGUAUUGGAGAUACAGCUGGGGAGCCCAGCAGACCUACGACCGGGUGAGACAUCAGAUCUGCAUAGGAGUCCAGAGUCAUCUGCACUGCAUUGCAUACAUGGUAGGACUCAGGAUAUCUUGUAUUUUGUACUUUUGUUGUAUAUUUGAAAUUUGGCCCUGUAUUUUGUAAUGUUAUGAAAGCUCUAAAGUUUGUAAUAUUUUGUACAUAUUAAAUAACAUGGAGAUUUUCUGUACAUAUUUAAAUUAUUAUGGACUGUGUUAUGGAACUGUUUAAUGACUGUAAAAGUCUAUUGACUUUACUGCGAAA